RNAcentral lists this long non-coding RNA (1225 nucleotides) under Ananas comosus (pineapple). RNAcentral's name for it is "long non-coding RNA (ACOM_LNC021032)". Lineage: Eukaryota; Viridiplantae; Streptophyta; Magnoliopsida; Poales; Bromeliaceae. The record is from RNAcentral.
AGGAUUCAGUUGGAUUUGAGAUUAACUAGGUCCUAAGUAUAUGGUCCAUGAACUUGGGUAUGGUUCGUGGUGUUUGGUUCAUGGGAUAUGGUUUAUGAUUCAGAACUUGGUGUAUGGUUUAUGGGUUUGGUUUAUGGUUCAUGGGACUCGGUUCAUGAACUUGGGUACGGUUCAUGGAAUAUGGUGUAUGGUUCAUGAGAUUUGGUUUAUGGAUAUGGUUCAUAGUUUAUGGUUUCAUGAAUUUGGUGUAUGGUUUAUGGUUCAUGGUGUAUGAUUCAUGAACUUGGUUCAUUUGGUUCAUGGUUCAUGAGGUUAGAUAUGUGGGAUUUGGUUCAUGAACUUGGUGUAUGGUUCAUGGUGUUUGGUUCACGAACUUGAUUCAUGGUUUAUGGUGUUUGAGGUUUAUGGUUUAUGGGAUUUAGUUCAUGAACUUGGGUAUGGUUCGUGGUAUUUGGUUCACGAACUUGGUUCAUAGUUUAUGGUGUUUGAGGUUUAUGGUUUAUGGAAUUUAGUUCAUGAACUUGGGUAUGGUUUACGGGUGAGGUUUAUGAACUUGGCUCAUGAAUCUUGGUUUAUGGACUUGAUUCAUGAUUCAUAAACUUGGUUUAUGGUUUAUGAAGUUGGGUAUAUUGGAUAUGGUUCAUGAACUUGGAUAUGGUUCAUGGACUUGGUACAUGGUUCAUGAGAUUUGACUCAUGAACUUGGUGUAUGGUUUAUGGGCCUUGAUUCAUGAACUUGGGUUAUGAUCCGUGGUGUUUGGUUCACGAACUUGGGUAAGGUUCAUGGAUAUGGUUCGUGGUUCAUGAACUUGGUUUAUGAGUUUUGGUUCAUGAGACUUGAUUCAUGAACUUGGGUAUAGGAUUUGGGAUUUGGUUCACGAACUUAGGUAUGGUUUAGGUUCAUGAGCCUAAGUUGGAAGUUGGAUUUGGGUUUUAGGUUUGGAUUUGGAUUGUGGACUUGAUUUGGGUUGGGUUUGGGUUUUGGUUUUGGGUUCGGGUUUCGGUUUGGAUUUUGGUUUUGUUUUGGUUUGGGUUUGGAUUUGAUUUGGUUUGGGUUUGGGUUUAUUUGUGGAUUUGGGUUUGGAUUUGGGUUUUGGUUUUAUUUGUGGAUUUGGUUUUGGUUUGGGUUUGGGUUUAUUUGUGUUUUGGGUUUGGUUUGUGUAACAAUGUGAAUUCUCGGAAUCCGAGAGUUGCACUUCGUCCGGAAUCGACUAACUGUCGAGUGG